Molecule: ribosomal RNA, 421 nt
Filed under: uncultured eukaryote
Lineage: Eukaryota
Description: SSU rRNA
Rfam family: Eukaryotic small subunit ribosomal RNA
Source: RNAcentral
CAAUAGCGUAUAUUAAAGUUGUUGCAGUUAAAACGCUCGUAGUCGGAUUUCGGGGCGAUCCCGCCGGUCUGCCGUUGGGUAUGCACUGGUGGGCGCGUCCUUCCUUCCGGAGACCGUUCCUACUCUUAGCUGAGCGGGGACGGGAGACGGAUCGUUUACUUUGAAAAAAUCAGAGUGUUUCAAGCAGGCAUUUGCUCUUGCAUGGAUUAGCAUGGGAUAAUGAAAUAGGACUUUGGUGCUAUUUUGUUGGUUUCGAACACCGAAGUAAUGAUUAACAGGGACAGUCAGGGGCACUCGUAUUCCGCCGAGAGAGGUGAAAUUCUCAGACCAGCGGAAGACGAACCACUGCGAAAGCAUUUGCCAGGGAUGUUUUCACUGAUCAAGAACGAAAGUUAGGGGAUCGAAGACGAUCAGAUACCGU